GGCGGAUGUAGCCAAGUGGAUAAAGGCAGUGGAUUGU
RNAcentral lists this transfer RNA (37 nucleotides) under Quercus ilex. Its description in RNAcentral is "partial tRNA-His". The record is from RNAcentral. RNAcentral also lists the same sequence under 7 other names. Lineage: Eukaryota; Viridiplantae; Streptophyta; Magnoliopsida; Fagales; Fagaceae.